ACUGAAGACUCAGGAGAGGGGUUUAGAGCACAGCCUCCCUCUCCAGGGUCAGGUUCACGGGAGCUGUUGGGGGCUCCUUCCCUCGCAGCAGUGACCACUCCAAGGACCACGGCCUGGACAUGAGCGGCAGCGGAGUCUAGAUGAAUAUAGGCAGCAGCCAAAGGCCACAGUCACGACAAACCUACACACUCUCACCACUGUCAUCUCAUAUUGUCCUAAAAUUUCCAGCCAGUGCAAAAAAACAUGAAAAAGAAAAAAUACAGCCAUUGGAAAAGAGGAAAAGUAAUUGUUAUUAGCUGAUGAUGUGAAUGUCUUCCUGAAAACCUUAAGAGAACCAACUGGAAAACAACCAGAAAUGAGAGCAUGGAGUUAGGCAACCGCCGAUCUGCUUUCUGUCACUUGGGCGAGUUUUUCCCGUCCUGGGAUUUCAUAUCUCUGGAAUCCUGCAGUACGUAGCCCUCUGUCUGGCUUCCUCGCUCCGUGUAAUGUUCUUGAGAUUCAUCCAUGCAGCUGUGUAUACCUGCAGUGAUUGUUUCUCUUGUUGAAUUGCUGAGAAGGGUUCCAUCGUAUGCCUUUUCCAGUUUAUUUGUUCAUCUGUUGUUAGACAUUUGAGUUAUUUCCAGCUUGGGACUCUUAUGAACAAAACUGCUAUAAACAUGCAUAUUCAAGUCUUUGUGGAUAUGUGCUUUCUUUUGUCCUGGAUAAAUGUCUCCACGUGGGCUUCCUGGGUCUCACGGACCUCACCAGCUGACGUGGCCGGCCCUGGACUUGCCAUGGAGAAGGCAGAGCCUGCCUCCCAGUGGGUCCCUGUGAGGAACAGCAGUACCGGCUUGUCGUCUUUCUGGGAAAUGCAUUUCGCCUCCUCUAGGAACCUCCCGGAUGACCCAGAGUGUUCUCCACCCACUUUUCCUGCCCUGUGCGGUCACCUCAUUUCUACAGGCUUGGGGAAACAAAUGCAAAGUGCUUUCCAGAACGUUUUUGUCUUACACAUGACACUUCUAUGGAAAAAAUGACUUUUUUUCCAUUGUUCCUUCCAGAACCUGAGCACAUCCCUCUGCUGGGAGGACGCUGUCUGUCCAAAUGUCACUGUCCCCCAUUUAGGAGCAGCAGCAGGGCCUUGCUUCAUGUUCAUAUGGGUGUUGAUUGGGAUAUGAUGGAUUCUUCUGUGUACUUUGGAGGAUUUUCUCCUUAGUUUGAAUAGUAAACUGUAAACUCAGACUCAGGACCUGGCUGGUGGAGAGCUGGGUCCCUGGUUGGGGCUGACCACAGAGGCCCAGGGUCUGUCUCUCCUUGGAAAAUGCCCAGGCUGGGCAGGCAAGGAGCUGGGCUGACCUCUGCCAGUGACAAUUCCUGGCAGGUACACCUGGCUGGUCCCCAGUGCCCUGGGCCAGUAACCCUGCAGCAGAGAAUCUAACGCUAGCCAGGCCUGAGCCGUGGGUCAUCUGUGAAGUGGCCUGCCCACUGUCAUAAGAGGUGCACCCGUCUGCCUGAAGCCAGGCUCAGCUAGCCGACUGGUGAGCUGCCUCCUGCUUCAGAGCUCAGGCCCCGGAGUUCUGCUGUGGCCGCAGGCAUGCACCCUCGUAUUGGCCUGCACAGCAGGCCUUGGGCUGCUCCAUGCAUCACAUGUGCUCCAAAGGAUCGUGGAUGCCUGAGUUCCACCCUGGAGGGACCGGGCAUGGCCUGGACAUCAGGACGUUCACAUCUCCUCAAGGAUUCGUCCUCCGUGACCCUGCUGUGGCUCCAGACGGUUUACAAAGGGCACUCACCUGUGCCUGCUCAUUGACACUUCACUGUGUUCCCAUUCGAUAAGGAAACCACGGCUCCAAAGACCAGCUGAAGUCACGGGUGGUAAGAGGCCAAGCUGAGGCCCCUUGCCCCAUCCCUGGCUCCAGGCAGCCUUUGCCCCCACCUCUCCCUCACCGUGGCCUCCAGGGUCUCCCAAAGCUUCCUUCCCUCCUUCAAAUCUCAGUUUGGUCCGUGGUGAGUCAGGUGUGCUGAGUGGACUAAAGUUCAUAGCUCCAGCCAGGUACAGCCCGGGCAGCACCAGCACCUUCAGUUUCAAGGGGUCCUGGGAAGGCUGGCUUGGGAAGAGUUCCGAGCCUGAAGGGUACAGGUGGGUCAGCAGGUGGGAGGAGCUGCCAUCAUCCAUGAUGUGUGGACCAUGAGUUUCUUCUGAGAGUGAACAUUUCCCCAGGCAGGUGUUUUGGGGGAAGGGAAUGUGCCCUGCAGGCAGGUGUGGCCCUGGGUAGCUGCAUGGUCGGGUGCAUGUGGCCCCAGGCAGAUGCAUGGUGGGUGGUGUGGCCCCAGGCAGGUUCAUGGUGGGGGAGAUGUGCAUGGUGGUGGGGUAUGACCCCAGGCAGGUGCAUGACCAGGUGGUGUGACUAGAAGGCUUCCUCCAUCCUUGCUGGACGGGGGGUCCCACACUGCCUGGGCCCUCUCUUUGGGUCACAGGCUUGCUGCCCCUUUUGUUGCCAUUUCUGGGCCUGUGUUAGCCAAGGUGACCUUCAGCAGCCACCAUCAUGCACAGAGAAGGACCUCUGCGCCUCUCAGAGUCCCUGGCCUGACAAGAAGAAACUGAAGCCAAAGGCAGCCCAAACCUCGGGGCACCAUGGGCCCCUUGGCGGCCGCGGCUCAUUAAAUGCCCUCUUUCUAAGGGUUUCCUCAGAGCCUUCAUUCCCUGCUCAGCAUUCCAAUGGCCUCCUCCGGGAUGCCUUUUAAUAUCCCUGCCAAAUUGAAAUGUGAGCCACCUAAUUACAACCAGAACAUCCUGCCCUUGGACGCGCUCACUUGAUCCAUGGAGGGACUGUUCCCUCUGUUGUUCACGUCCUGACUGGACUUGGAGAUGAGAGACUUGAAACCUGCAUCUGUGUCUGGUCAGGAAGGACCAGCAGCUCUAGUGACCACAGAGAGCAGAGCCCAAAGCACUGACUCAAGCCCCUGCCAGGUGCAGAGCCUGGAGGUCCCAGAGUGACCACUCCUAUCACUGGAGCCAAUCCCAGAGUGACCGUCCCUAUCACUGGAGCCGAUCCCAGAGUGACCGUCCCUAUCACUGGCGCCGAUCCCAGAGUGACCGUCCCUAUCACUGGAGCCGAUCCCAGAGUGACCGUCCCUAUCACUGGCGCCGAUCCCAGAGUGACCGUCCCUAUCACUGGCGCCGAUCCCAGAGUGA
This 3169-nucleotide long non-coding RNA is filed under the name Homo sapiens (human). RNAcentral describes it as "HSALNT0360764". Lineage: Eukaryota; Metazoa; Chordata; Mammalia; Primates; Hominidae. The record is from RNAcentral.